This is a non-coding RNA of Mus musculus domesticus (western European house mouse), 67 nucleotides long. The record is from Rfam. NCBI's taxonomy places the organism in Eukaryota, Metazoa, Chordata, Mammalia, Rodentia, Muridae.
CAAGAAGUAGUUUAAUUAGAAUACCAGCUUUGGGUGCUGGUGGUGGGGAGUAGCUCCUUCUUCUUGA